GAUGAACGCUGGCGGCGUGCCUAAUACAUGCAAGUCGAGCGAACAGAUGAGGAGCUUGCUCCUCUGACGUUAGCGGCGGACGGGUGAGUAACACGUGGAUAACCUACCUAUAAGACUGGGAUAACUUCGGGAAACCGGAGCUAAUACCGGAUAAUAUAUUGAACCGCAUGGUUCAAUAGUGAAAGACGGUUUUGCUGUCACUUAUAGAUGGAUCCGCGCCGCAUUAGCUAGUUGGUAAGGUAACGGCUUACCAAGGCAACGAUGCGUAGCCGACCUGAGAGGGUGAGCGGCCACACUGGAGUUGCGACACGGACCAGACUCCUACGGGAGGCAGCAGUAGGGAAUCUUGCGCAAUGGGCGAAAGCCUGACGGAGCAACGCCGCGUGAGUGAUGAAGGUCUUCGGAUCGUAAAACUCUGUUAUUAGGGAAGAACAAAUGUGUAAGUAACUAUGCACGUCUUGACGGUACCUAAUCAGAAAGCCACGGCUAACUACGU
This 496-nucleotide ribosomal RNA is filed under the name uncultured bacterium. Its description in RNAcentral is "partial 16S ribosomal RNA". It matches the Rfam family "Bacterial small subunit ribosomal RNA", at positions 28 to 506 of the family's 1533-position model. The record is from RNAcentral.